AUGAACGCUGGCGGCGUGCCUCAUACAUGCAAGUCGAGCGAACGGACGAGAAGCUUGCUUCUCUGAUGUUAGCGGCGGACGGGUGAGUAACACGUGGAUAACCUACCUAUAAGACUGGGAUAACUUCGGGAAACCGGAGCUAAUACCGGAUAAUAUUUUGAACCGCAUGGUUCAAAAGUGAAAGACGGUCUUGCUGUCACUUAUAGAUGGAUCAGCGCUGCAUUAGCUAGUUGGUAAGGUAACGGCUUACCAAGGCAACGAUGCAUAGCCGACCUGAGAGGGUGAUCGGCCACACUGGAACUGAGACACGGUCCAGACUCCUACGGGAGGCAGCAGUAGGGAAUCUUCCGCAAUGGGCGAAAGCCUGACGGAGCAACGCCGCGUGAGUGAUGAAGGUCUUCGGAUCGUAAAACUCUGUUAUUAGGGAAGAACAUAUGUGUAAGUAACUGUGCACAUCUUGACGGUACCUAAUCAGAAAGCCACGGCUAACUACGUG
Molecule: ribosomal RNA, 496 nt
Filed under: uncultured bacterium
Lineage: Bacteria
Description: partial 16S ribosomal RNA
Rfam family: Bacterial small subunit ribosomal RNA
Source: RNAcentral